AUGAUAUUGAUAGAUUUAUUAAUUUUGAUAAACAACAGAUGUUGGAUAAAGAUCCAACCAUUUUUGAUAAACGUACAUCCCUUCGGGUGAAAAAAAAUUGCAAUAAAUACAUCGUGCAUUUUCUGAGCCGUGUAAAGACCUUGGAUUCUCUACUGUGAAACAAUGAAGAUCUCAGUGUGCUUGCUUUGUUUAACGAUGUUCUUUCUCAUCAUCCAAGACAGUGUGGAAGGAUCACUAUCCAGUAAGGAGAAACCUCAUAUAUCCCCCAGCCAGAGGUUCUUUUGUGUCACCUGUUCUCUAGCAAACAACCCCUCCGCAGAAUGGUUGAAGCGCUGCAGGAAGUUACUCUGUAAGCUUUGAACGUGGCGAUUGCUGAGAGUACUGAACACUUGACAAUAAAGAUCCGAAACCUGAACCAAAGAAUUCACUUUUCUCUGUGAAGAAGUGUAUUGCGAUGUAGAUACAUGUAAAUCCAAAUAAAAAUUGAUAAAUGAA
Magallana angulata is the source of this 495-nucleotide long non-coding RNA. RefSeq lists it as uncharacterized. NCBI's taxonomy places the organism in Eukaryota, Metazoa, Mollusca, Bivalvia, Ostreida, Ostreidae. The transcript has 2 exons. The record is from RefSeq and is a predicted model, not a curated record.